Molecule: long non-coding RNA, 4078 nt
Organism: Marmota monax (woodchuck)
Lineage: Eukaryota; Metazoa; Chordata; Mammalia; Rodentia; Sciuridae
Exons: 4
Source: RefSeq, a predicted model, not a curated record
UUCCUAAUUUGGCUGCCCAAAGUUUGCAACCCGCUGGGCCACCCCAGAGCUGUGGGACGCCAGCCGCCGCGUUCUCAGUGCCCAGGUCUUGGGAAGAGGAGGAGGAGGAGGAGGAGGAAGAAAUCUUUGAUGCUGGGCCAGAAACCUCUGCCUCAGACUCCACUAUUCAAGCUUCCCCUUUAGCUUCAGGUUGGACUCACAGACACAGAACCCACAGAUACAGGGAGCCAGCUGUAUGUUAGCUGUUGUCUUUCAACCGAAACAUGCAGAAGACAAAGUACUAGUCGAUGGGCUGAGAAAGCAGUUGUGACCAGCACCUGAAGGAACCUGACCCUGUGUUUCCCCUCGGAGCAGAGGUCGGUAUUCACUGAUUCACUGUUUGCUGGGGCUUUAAAGGACAGGACUACCGUGGAUGACGAGAACUGACGCUAUGUGGAUUGACUUAUGCGUCGUCUUCUCUUGCUAUGAGUGUGAGGAUGUUGCUGUGUUCUGCUUCCGACCCAAGCCAGGCAUGCAGUAAGUGCUCAAUAAAUGUUUUUGUUUUAUUUUGGGAGGACUGAGGACUGAACCCAAGGACACUGAGCUACAUCCCAUCCUUUUUGUUUUUUAUUCUGAGACAAGGUCUCACUACAUUGCUGAGGGUCUCACUAAGAUGCUGAGGCUCACCUCAAACUUACGAUCCUCCUGCCUUAGGCUUCCAAGUCACUGGGAUUACAUGUGUGCAUCACCACACCCAGCUCCAAUAGUUUUUUUUUUUAAUAUUUAUUCUUUAGUUGGACACAAUAUCUUUAUUUUAUUUAUUUAUUUUUAUGUGGUGCUGAGGAUUGGACCCAGGGCCUCGCACAUGCUAGGUGGGCGCUCUGCUGCUGAGCCAUAAUCCGAGCCCCCAAUCAUUCUUUUAAUCAAUCAAUGAAGUCAUAUAGAAUUAAUAAAAAGUUUAUAUAAAACGAUCCAGUCCAGAACUGCUAGGCUGGUGGCUACUAAGGAUCAGAGCCGCGCUGGGUUGGUUUGCAGAAGCUACACUGAGUACCUGGAAAGGCAUCGAAGCCCAUUGGGAUGGGCCAGGUUGCCUCUGGGUCUCCCUAGAACCUGUGCCUGGUGGACCUAGAGACUCCCUAAUGCUGAGGGGCUCCAGUGGACACCCCAAAGGAUCAACCUGGUGAGUUUUGCAUGGGAGCACCCACACCUCUGGGCCCCAGUCUGAAGCCACAGAUCCAUCUUUCCCUCUCCCAGGAAGCCUUCCCUGGAACCAAGGGUCUCCUCUGGGCUCCCAGGGUCCCGACAGGCACAUGAGUCCAGGGACUGUGGGCCCUGUGCCCCCCACCAAGCUGAGUUCUUGAGGCAGAGCCCGACAGCUGUGGUUUCCUGCUGUGAUCUCGGCUUCCUCCUGGUACAGUUGUCAAAUGACCAUAAGAGUCAUUCUAACGAUGGCUGCUGCACCAGGCGCCUCGCUAGACCUCUUGUAAGUUACCCAUUUCAUCUAAUUCCUACCCACCACCCAACGGUGCUGGGGUUUGAAUGUGUUCCCCAAAACUCACGGGUUAGGAACUUAGUGUUGGGAGGCCAGCCUACUGGGGGAGACGUUUAAUUCAGGAGGAUGGAGCUCUUGGGAGGGGACUCCUGUGACCAUGGAAAGGCAUGGAGGAGCAGGCGAGUUCUCAUCCCUGUCUGCUGCCCCCACCCCACCAGCCUUCUGCCAGGUGAGGACAUAACAAUCCUCCCUCUAGAGGAUGUGCCAGUCAAGAACCUGUCUGGAAGCGGCAACCCACCUGCAGGUGCCUGGCCUCGACCUGCAAGAGCCCAACCUCAGAGCCAUGAGGGGAUGAAUCUGUGCUCUUCCUAAAUUAAAACAAAAAACAGCACAAAAGUCGUCUAAGGUGAAUGCGAACAGUUAUUCCCAUCUCUCAGUUAAAGAACGAAGUUCAGAGAGGAUGAUUCACGCUCAGAGUUGCACAGCUUAGGACAAGCCCCUCCCUCCAGCCUCUGCUGCCUGGGUUCUAAGAGGGAGGUGCCUUGACAAGAAGCUCCCAGCCUGGUCUCAGAUCCUGUGACUGAAAAGGGAAGUUCACGAGAGGAGUCAAGGUGGGUUUUUAAACACCCCCCUCUGCCUGGUGGAGCACCUCUGCAGUCCCAGGUAUUUGGGAGGCCGAGGCAGAAGGAUUGCAAGUCCCAGGAUGGCUUCGGCAACUUAGUGAGAGCCUGUGUCAAAAUAAAAAUUAAAAAGAGCUGCAGAUAGACCUCAGAGGUAGAGUGCUGGCCUGGCAUGCUGUGAGGCCCCAGGGUGGGUCCCCAGUACAAAACAAAAGUGGGGAGAAAAAGAAAUAUCCAAUUCUCUCUCCAUGCCUGAGCUUCGGGACGCAGGCCUGGGGAGCCUUCCUCAGUGAGCGCCAAGUCCCCACGUAGAUAUCACAGAACAUCUUCUCCUCCAGCCUGGAUAAGCAGGGCUGACUUUAUGCCGCGUCAGGAAUGACCUUGCUGUCUAAGCCAGACCGCCCCGAAUGCACCAGAUCUCUGGGCUACAACACCUCCCCUCGCAGAGCUGAGAUGCUGCAGGGAGACACAGGAUCCACAAAACCAAGGGUUCCACAGAGUACGUCAGGAUUCCCAGAAAAAAAGAUUCAUUGACGAAGCGUAGUAGGGCCUUUCCAACACCUGACGGCACAAGCCAAGCCCCACUCCAUCCAGACAGGAGGAGAGAGACCCCAAGGGAACUCUGCAGCUGUGGCAGAAAGGAGAGGGGACAAAUAAAAAGAGGCAGAGGCUGUGUGUGUGUGUCUUUUGGUUUUGUACUUGGGAUUAAACCCAGGGUGCUCUACCACUGAGCCACAUCCUCAGCCCUUUUCAGCCUUUUUUAUGUUGAGACAGGGUCCCAGGCUGGCCUUGAACUUUCGAUUCUCCUGACUUAGCCUCCCAAAUCACUGGGAUUUCAGGACUGCACCGCUGCACCCAAAGUCCGAGUUUUGCAGAUUAAUUAUAAGAUUUCUUAGCUGGUAAGUGGCACAGCCUGGAAGUGCCUGGCUCAAAGCAGUCCUGAAAUUCCCACUGUGGUCUGGAGGCCGUCCAUCGCCACACACGGGACAGGUGGCUGGACCAGCCACUGGGCUAAGAGAGAAGGCCUUGAGCGUCAAGGGCAAACAGAACACAAGGGCAGCCACCUUCUGACGGAGCAACAGGGAUCUGGAAGGUGGCCCAGGGCUGAUCCAGAAGGCUCACGGGUGAUGGAGGUACGUCCAGCAGAGGCCAGGGACAGCGGACUGGCUCCUCAGGUGGAGCUCAAGAGGCUCUCCGCAGGGAGCCCUGGGAGCAAGGACCAGAUGCCUCUCUGGUCUGGGGCUGGAGUCCAGAGAGGCUGGGGUAAGGACAGGGGUGCGGGAGCUCCAGGAAUCUGAUACUUAUGGAGUACCUGCUGUAUCCAUGAGCUCUACAUGUUAUUCCAUGUUCAAGGGGAAGUGAAGGGGGAGAGAGUGCGCUGCGGGGUCCUGGCACCUGAGCAAUGUGUGCUGCUCCAUGGAGCCCCUCCUCCCCUCGGCCCUACAAGGGUGUUAUUAGCCCACACUCUGCAGAGGUGAGGAACCCAGAGCCAGAAAAACCUAAGGCCAAGGCUUUGCCCACUCUCUGGGGGCCUUGCCUGGUAAGUAUCUGGAAUUGUGAGGUGCAGGGGUGGGGGGGGGGUGUUACUGCCUGUCCCUUCCUCCUUAUCCAGGCACCAAGAAGCCCAGGAGAAAACUGGCCACUUGGGGCUAGAAUCUCAGCCCUGCCCCUCCAUCCAGGUCACCCUCAUUCAUGUACCCACUCCUCAGGGUCUGAGGACCCACCCAGGGGCAAUCAAGACCCAAAGGGGAUCCCCCCUGGCCUCGGUUUUCCCAUCUGUGAAAUGGGACCAGCCUAGCCCACUUCACGGGAGGGAGUUAAAAGCACUGAACCCGAGGGCAGGCCCAGGGCAGGUCAAGCCCUCAGAAGGCGCUCCAGGAGGGCGGGGCCAACUGGCAUUUACUCACCAGCCCCAGGCACAGAGCCUGGCACACGGGAGGCGCCCCAUAAAUGCUUGUUUGAGAAAGGACCAAACCUCAAUAAAUAA